GUUCAACUCCCUCCCUCACUA
This 21-nucleotide transfer RNA is filed under the name Aprosmictus erythropterus (red-winged parrot). Its description in RNAcentral is "partial tRNA-Met". Lineage: Eukaryota; Metazoa; Chordata; Aves; Psittaciformes; Psittacidae. The record is from RNAcentral.